This is a non-coding RNA of Aegilops tauschii subsp. strangulata, 1268 nucleotides long. The record is from RefSeq and is a predicted model, not a curated record. NCBI's taxonomy places the organism in Eukaryota, Viridiplantae, Streptophyta, Magnoliopsida, Poales, Poaceae.
UAGAGGAAAGGAGAGGGAGACGCGUGAGAAACAGAGCCCACGACUCCCUCGUCUCUCCCAAAUCGCCGCCACCAAUGCCUCGUCUCCCUCCUCCGACCCGCCUCGUCUCCCUUGCGCCGACCCUCCACCUCCCCUCCUCCCACCUCACAGCUCCGGAGGCUGCAGGAUCCGCCACAUCCCCACCCAACCGUCCCUCUCGUGUUCCAUCCCGGUCUCUUCACGCGGCUCUCCUCGCCGCGCUACCUGCGGCGGCUGCAUCAGGUGAUGUCCGGCGAAUCCCGCCAGCGCCAAGCACAGCCUGAGGUCCCUUCGCUCCGUGGAGCCCUCCCAUCCAGCUAGAUCGAGCGCUCGCUGCCACCAAAUCCCACCUGCGACCCAUCCCCCAUGGCUAGGGUUUCGGGCUUCGGAUCCGGUGCCGGUGACCAUGUCAUCCUCGUCUCAUCCGACAUGCGGGGAGGAACAGGCAGUGGACAACCUUGCUGCGGCUCGGGAUGAAGCAGCCACGAGCUUCCUCCUCCUCCGGCUUCAGUGGAGGUGUACCAAAGGUAGUUUGAAGCAGAUUAGGCGGCCGCGGGCGUCUUUGGCGGUGAGGCCCCGUCCAGUGAAGGAAAUGGCGGUGUGGCGAUUUGUGUUCUAUUCUCCAUCCUUUAAGCUCAUAACAGAAGAAAGAACUAUACAAUCACUAUUGUUUUAUUAAGAAAAGACCUGUCUUGUAUGCAUGUAUUGAUGAGUACUCCUCUUGACUCGAUUGUGUUGUAGGGAGUGAAAGCAUCCAGUUGCGGUGGUCUCCAACUCUGGUCGCCUCCAGCAGCACCACAUAAUCAAAGUUCCAAACAGUAGUGUUGGACUGCUGCCUCCAGCCAACCAUAACAUAAUCAUUGGAUGUGUUUCUUAUACGUAGAAGAUUUGAGUGAUCUGCACACACCAACUUGAUGUAGGGGGACACCAUGGAAGGCUAUGUCGUAUAUUGUGGCGUCUGGAUUAGUCAUCAAUGAUCACUAACAGUCAUGCCGGUAUAUUUCCAGAAUCAUAACAAGGACGUAGUUCUUGCUACAGUUCUAAGUUAUGAUCCUAAAUUGAAAAUUGAUGGUGCUGAAAUUAAAAUGCAUUUUGGGCAGUGUAAUACAACACUUGCGAAAACUGAAGAUUUGGUACAGAGUCGCAAAAACUACAAUACUAAUGGUAAUGCAAAAAAAAAUAUUGCAUGGCCUUCAAUGUUUAUUGAAAAGAUAUAUGGAUGAUUAUAUGGGUGCGUAACAAGUAUACUG